CCCAGACAGUAAAGUGACUUGGAGCAGAGAUGCUGAAGGAGGAGGAAGAGAGGACAUUCUGACUGUUGAUAAUGGAAAAGAAACUAGACACAUCAGCGACCCACAGAAACGCUACGUUACAUUAGCAGACUUGUCACUUACAAUUACAAGAGUGUCAUUCUCCGACUCUGGGAGAUAUUACUGUAAUGGGACAGCAGCAGCAGAUCUACAGGUGAUAUCGGAGAAAGGAGAAGUGAAUCCGAAAAAUUCCAAUGACACAGCAAAGACUUCUGUGGAGAGGAACGGAGAGAAGCCCAAGCAGACAGAGAAAGACAGCGACGAAAAGCUCACUGAAGCCCCAACAACUGUUUCUACAGCAGUAGCAACAGCAAUUCCAAAAACAACAGCAGAUCCCAAAAGGAAAGGAGGGGGACCAAAGGAAG
This is a long non-coding RNA of Megalops cyprinoides (Indo-Pacific tarpon), 422 nucleotides long. RefSeq lists it as uncharacterized. The record is from RefSeq and is a predicted model, not a curated record. The transcript is spliced from 4 exons. Lineage: Eukaryota; Metazoa; Chordata; Actinopteri; Elopiformes; Megalopidae.